This 429-nucleotide ribosomal RNA is filed under the name Pseudomonadota bacterium. RNAcentral's name for it is "Proteobacteria bacterium partial 16S ribosomal RNA". It matches the Rfam family "Bacterial small subunit ribosomal RNA", at positions 355 to 776 of the family's 1533-position model. The record is from RNAcentral. Lineage: Bacteria; Pseudomonadati; Pseudomonadota.
UGGGGUAUAUUGGAUAAUGGGCGAAAGCCUGAUCCAGCCAUGCCGCGUGUGUGAAGAAGGUCUUCGGAUUGUAAACCACUUUAAGUUGGGAGGAAUGGCAGUAAGCGAAUACCUUGCUGUUUUGACGUUACCGCCAGAAUAAGCACCGGCUAACUCUGUGCCAGCAGCCGCGGUAAUACAGAGGGUGCAAGCGUUAAUCGGAAUUACUGGGCGUAAAGCGCGCGGAGGUGGUUCGUUAAGUUGAAUGUGAAAGCCCCGCGCUCAACCGGGGAACUGCAUCCUAAACUGGCGGGCUAGAGUAGGGCAGAGGGUGGGGGAAUUUCCUGUGUAGCGGUGAAAUGCGUAGGUAGAGGAAGGAACACCAGUGGCGAAGGCGAAGACCUGGGCUCAUAAUGACACUGAGAUGCGAAAGCGUGGGGAGCAAACAGG